RNAcentral lists this non-coding RNA (24 nucleotides) under Arabidopsis thaliana (thale cress). The record is from RNAcentral. Lineage: Eukaryota; Viridiplantae; Streptophyta; Magnoliopsida; Brassicales; Brassicaceae.
GGACCCGCGUACGAGUUGUUCGGA